GCCUGGCUGGCUCAGUUGGUAGAGCAUGUGACUCUUGAUCUCAGGGUCAUAAGUUCAAGCCCCAUGUUGGGUG
Molecule: non-coding RNA, 73 nt
Organism: Ailuropoda melanoleuca (giant panda)
Lineage: Eukaryota; Metazoa; Chordata; Mammalia; Carnivora; Ursidae
Source: Rfam